Molecule: ribosomal RNA, 497 nt
Filed under: uncultured bacterium
Lineage: Bacteria
Description: partial 16S ribosomal RNA
Rfam family: Bacterial small subunit ribosomal RNA
Source: RNAcentral
GAUGAACGCUGGCGGCGUGCCUAAUACAUGCAAGUCGAGCGAACAGACGAGGAGCUUGCUCCUCUGACGUUAGCGGCGGACGGGUGAGUAACACGUGGAUAACCUACCUAUAAGACUGGGAUAACUUCGGGAAACCGGAGCUAAUACCGGAUAAUAUAUUGAACCGCAUGGUUCAAAAGUGAAAGACGGUCUUGCUGUCACUUAUAGAUGGAUCCGCGCCGCAUUAGCUAGUUGGUAAGGUAACGGCUUACCAAGGCAACGAUGCGUAGCCGACCUGAGAGGGUGAUCGGCCACACUGGAACUGAGACACGGUCCAGACUCCUACGGGAGGCAGCAGUAGGGAAUCUUCCGCAAUGGGCGAAAGCCUGACGGAGCAACGCCGCGUGAGUGAUGAAGGUCUUCGGAUCGUAAAACUCUGUUAUUAGGGAAGAACAAAUGUGUAAGUAACUGUGCACGUCUUGACGGUACCUAAUCAGAAAGCCACGGCUAACUACGUG